AUGAACGCUGGCGGCGUGCCUAAUACAUGCAAGUCGAGCGAACAGAUGAGGAGCUUGCUCCUCUGACGUUAGCGGCGGACGGGUGAGUAACACGUGGGUAACCUACCUAUAAGACUGGGAUAACUUCGGGAAACCGGAGCUAAUACCGGAUAAUAUAUUGAACCGCAUGGUUCAAUAGUGAAAGACGGUUUUGCUGUCACUUAUAGAUGGAUCCGCGCCGCAUUAGCUAGUUGGUAAGGUAACGGCUUACCAAGGCAACGAUGCGUAGCCGACCUGAGAGGGUGAUCGGCCACACUGGAACUGAGACACGGUCCAGACUCCUACGGGAGGCAGCAGUAGGGAAUCUUCCGCAAUGGGCGAAAGCUUGACGGAGCAACGCCGCGUGAGUGAUGAAGGUCUUCGGAUCGUAAAACUCUGUUAUUAGGGAAGAACAAAUGUGUAAGUAACGAUGCACGUCUUGACGGGACCUAAUCAGAAAGCCACGGCUAACUACGU
This 495-nucleotide ribosomal RNA is filed under the name uncultured bacterium. Its description in RNAcentral is "partial 16S ribosomal RNA". It matches the Rfam family "Bacterial small subunit ribosomal RNA", at positions 29 to 506 of the family's 1533-position model. The record is from RNAcentral.